This 103-nucleotide small nuclear RNA is filed under the name Propithecus coquereli (Coquerel's sifaka). The record is from RNAcentral. Lineage: Eukaryota; Metazoa; Chordata; Mammalia; Primates; Indriidae.
UUGGUUUGGCAGCACAUAUACUAAAACUGGAACAAUACAGAGAAGAUGGGCAUGGCCCCUGUGCAAAGAUGACCUGCAAGUUCAAAAAAAAAAAAGAAAAGAA